GACGAACGCUGGCGGCGUGCUUAACACAUGCAAGUCGAACGGAAAGGCCCUGCUUGCAGGGUACUCGAGUGGCGAACGGGUGAGUAACACGUGGGUGAUCUGCCCUGCACUUCGGGAUAAGCCUGGGAAACUGGGUCUAAUACCGGAUAGGAGCCAUUUUUAGUGUGAUGGUUGGAAAGUUUUUUUCGGUGUAGGAUGAGCUCGCGGCCUAUCAUCUUGUUGGUGGGGUAAUGGCCUACCAAGGCGGCGACGGGUAGCCGGCCUGAGAGGGUGGACGGCCACAUUGGGACUGAGGUACGGCCCAGACUCCUACGGGGGGCAGCAGUGGGGAAUAUUGCACAAUGGGCGCAAGCCUGAUGCAGCGACGCCGCGUGGGGGAGGACGGCCUUCGGGUUGUAAACUCCUUUCGCUAGGGACGAAGCUUUUUGUGACGGUACCUAGAGAAGAAGCACCGGCUAACUACGUG
RNAcentral lists this ribosomal RNA (466 nucleotides) under uncultured bacterium. Its description in RNAcentral is "partial 16S ribosomal RNA". It matches the Rfam family "Bacterial small subunit ribosomal RNA", at positions 28 to 507 of the family's 1533-position model. The record is from RNAcentral.